UAACUUUUCUCUCAGGAAGGAAUAGUUAAGAAGGUGCAAAAAGUUGGCUUGACCGAUGCUCCUGUAACCUAUUGGGGCUUGAAGCUUUAUGGAGCUGAAAGCACUGAUACUCAAAGGUAAAAGUCUAGAAAGAUUUUCUAUGAAGUUGGACCCUCUGCUAAUUAGUCUUUCUUUUCCCUUCUUGUCACCACUAAUCUUUCCUCUGAACUAUCUCUUAUCAUAUAUUUUUAUCCUUUUCAAUACACAUCUUGUAAUUUUAACUGAUGAAUGGAACUU
RNAcentral lists this long non-coding RNA (276 nucleotides) under Lathyrus oleraceus (garden pea). Its description in RNAcentral is "Pisum sativum (pea) long non-coding RNA (PSAT_LNC027468)". The record is from RNAcentral. Lineage: Eukaryota; Viridiplantae; Streptophyta; Magnoliopsida; Fabales; Fabaceae.